Molecule: unclassified non-coding RNA, 329 nt
Filed under: Hevea brasiliensis (rubber tree)
Lineage: Eukaryota; Viridiplantae; Streptophyta; Magnoliopsida; Malpighiales; Euphorbiaceae
Source: RNAcentral
GCCAAAAUUGGAGAAAGAAAAAGCUUCAAGGACCAGCAUUCCACUCUAACACUUAUAAAUUAGAUAAAUCAAUUAAAAAGGAACUAUCAGAGUUACAAUUAGAAAAAAGAUCACAGAACACACAAAUUUAUAUUGGAAAGGCACGCCACAACUGCAAAUUUAUAUAUAUCGUGCACUAUAUAAUGAGGAUGAGGAGAACGAUGACCACUGCCAGUACAAAAAUUCCCAGUAGCCACCAACACCAUGAAGAUCUGGAUUUCACACUUUUUGAAGCUCUUGCUAACUGAACUUUUGCUUGGUUUGUUGCAGCAGCAGAAGAUUCAAUGUUG